Molecule: ribosomal RNA, 238 nt
Filed under: uncultured bacterium
Lineage: Bacteria
Description: partial 16S ribosomal RNA
Rfam family: Bacterial small subunit ribosomal RNA
Source: RNAcentral
GCAAGUCGAACGGUAACAGCGAGAGCUUGCUCUCGGCUGACGAGUGGCGGACGGGUGAGUAACGCGUGGGAAUCUACCCAGUAGCGGGGGACAACUCGGGGAAACUCGAGCUAAUACCGCAUACGCCCUUCGGGGGAAAGGCUUCGGCCACUAUUGGAUGAGCCCGCGUUGGAUUAGUUUGUUGGUGGGGUAACGGCCUACCAAGCCUACGAUCUAUAGCUGGUUUGAGAGGAUGAUC